RNAcentral lists this transfer RNA (71 nucleotides) under Angiostrongylus costaricensis. It matches the Rfam family "tRNA". Rfam says of the family: Transfer RNA (tRNA) molecules are approximately 80 nucleotides in length. Their secondary structure includes four short double-helical elements and three loops (D, anti-codon, and T loops). The record is from Rfam by way of RNAcentral. Lineage: Eukaryota; Metazoa; Nematoda; Chromadorea; Rhabditida; Metastrongylidae.
GCAUUGGCGGUUCAGUGGUAGAAUGCUCGCCUGCCACGCGAGCGACCCAGGUUCGUUUACCGGCCAUUGUC